This 2131-nucleotide long non-coding RNA is filed under the name Canis lupus familiaris (dog). Its description in RNAcentral is "lncRNA (ENSCAFG00030022172.1)". The record is from RNAcentral. Lineage: Eukaryota; Metazoa; Chordata; Mammalia; Carnivora; Canidae.
GCAAGUUGAACCAAAAUACAAAAAACAAAAAACAAAAAAAACAAAAAAAAAAAAAAAAAAAAAAAAAAAGAAAGAAAGAAACAGGAAAAGGAAAAAAAAAAAAAAAAGAAAGAAAAAAAACCACCACAAUCUAGUCUUUUAGUUUCCAGCCUAAACUCAGCUUUAUCCUCCUCCAAGCCCUGGCAGCUUCUCUCAGUCUCAUUCUCCGUGAUCACGCCGCCUCCACCGGUUAAAAAUAAUAAAAAUAAAUAAAUAAUAAUUGUAAUUCAGUUUGUUUUACUUCCUGAAAGAUUUAGUGACAGGUGAUCUGUUACCGCGGUGCAAACACAGCCCAGUCGAAUCAAGCAGGAGGAAGGAGGGGGGUGGGGGGUGGGGGCCGGUGGGAAGGAAGAUCCUACACUAUUUAAGAUUAUUUCUUCUUCUGCAAUAAGCUUAGAAACCAGCGAAUUGCUGCAUCCCAAGAAAAAAAGCUGCUUCCCUGGACAGCAUCAUGCGGCAAAUUUCAAGCAAAUGUGUUCAAACUGAAGAGAAGAGUCUGUGAUAAAAGCCUUCCUCCGCCAGGCUUACUCUGGUAGCUAAUUUAGCACACUGUGAGUCCCAAGCAUUAGCAAUGAUCAAUUUCCCUGGCAAGAUAACCAAAUCCCCGAAGUCCUGCAUAGACUUAAAAAUGUCUUGCAGCUAAGAGGUAUUCUCUCAAUGGGGAAAAGAAGAUAAUAAAGUCUGAAGGGAACGAUCUCCUUUGAAGGUUAUGCUAAAAAGAGUUGAGAGAAGGGGAGGUGGAUCCUACAGAGAGGAGAGAAAAGAGGGAGAGAGAGAAAGCCAGAGAGGGAGAGAAAAAUUUUCCUCCUGCUUUGCUGUUUUACUGGCCUUCACCACCAGGUGACUGACUUCACUUCUCUCUUCCCACAGCCAGCGCUAAGGGGAUUUCUCUCAUCUGUCAAAAAGCAACAUUUCCUCUCCAGACGGAUGCGGUGCUGCUGGGUCUUAAAGACUGCCCUCUGCCCAGAAUCCAUUUUGGGCAACAAAGAAUGGGACUCCAAGCUGACUGCUAACAGCCUGAGCAUGAGACACAUCCACUGAAUGUUCUGAAUUCACUCUUCCUCUCCUCAUUACUGAGAGCCAGGUAAGUCACUCUCAGAUUGGAGCUCUGUUCCCUCCCAUGCAGCUCUCUGAAAGAAACAAUCUUUAUGAUUAAAUAAAGGUUAUAUAUUUAUAUAUCAAAAUGGUUCUGGGGCUCUGGAGGGGUUUCAGGGUUUUUUUGUUGUUGUUGUUGUUUUUUUAAAUUCCAGAACGUUUCUGAAGUCCUAGGGGCACCUGGUGGCUCUGUUGGUUAAACAUUCGUUUCUUGGUUUCCACUCAGGUCAUGAUCUUAGGGUUGUAGGAUUGAGCCCUGUGUUGGGCUCCAUGUUCAGCAGGGAGUUUGCUUAAGAUUCCCUCCCUCUUCCCCUCCCUCACCCUGAUCUAUCUCUCUCUCUCUCUCUCUCUCUCUCUCUCUCUCGUGCGCAUGCUCUCUCUCUCUCAAAAAAGAAAAGAAAAUAUUUUUAAAAAGAAAGUUUCUGGGAUCCGAGAAAUAUUCCAGUAUAGUUAUAUUUGGGAAUCCACAUUGUCUGGUAGCUGUUAGAGGACUCACAAAACCUUGGGACAAGUCCAUAGCAUAAGCUGUUUCAGGGGAUGUUGGUGCGGAGCUCAGAAGAAUAAACUAAGACAAGAAAUUCAGACUGUUUCGACCAUCAAAACCUAAAGGGGCACAAGUGACACUAUUAAAAGCCAUCAAGGCAUCUGCCACUAUAAAGACAUCUUGUGAAAAGAAUAAUAGAUUUCUUGCUAAUGGGAAUCUGGGAUAAAACCCAUAAAAACCAUAAAAUUGGUGGGCAGGGGUUACGCACUUAAAAGCUGUUGGAGCACUUACUACCUAAUCUAAGAUUUCCAUGCUAGGUUAAGUUGUCAGGAAUGGGUGAACUUGACACCUUAUUACCCUCCAACCUCAAGAAAACUUCCAUACAACAAGGUGGACACACCAUCCCUGAUCCAGUGGCACAUCCUUUUUAGGUAUUAAUUUGUUUCCAAAGGAUGGAAGGCUCAGCUAAAGAAAUGGGAUCCUAGAAGUUUCAAAGAAUUGAGUGUGGACCAU